AUACGGAGGAUCCGAGCGUUAUCCGGAUUUAUUGGGUUUAAAGGGAGCGUAGGUGGACAGUUAAGUCAGUUGUGAAAGUUUGCGGCUCAACCGUAAAAUUGCAGUUGAUACUGGUUGUCUUGAGUACAGUAGAGGUGGGCGGAAUUCGUGGUGUAGCGGUGAAAUGCUUAGAUAUCACGAAGAACUCCGAUUGCGAAGGCAGCUCACUGGACUGCAACUGACACUGAUGCUCGAAAGUGUGGGUAUCAAACAGGAUUAGAUACCCUGGUAGUCCACACAGUAAACGAUGAAUACUCGCUGUUUGCGAUAUACAGUAAGCGGCCAAGCGAAAGCAUUAAGUAUUCCACCUGGGGAGAACGACCGCAAGGUUGAAACUUAAAGGAAUUGACGGGG
Molecule: ribosomal RNA, 393 nt
Filed under: uncultured bacterium
Lineage: Bacteria
Description: partial 16S ribosomal RNA
Rfam family: Bacterial small subunit ribosomal RNA
Source: RNAcentral